Molecule: transfer-messenger RNA, 118 nt
Filed under: Bacillota bacterium
Lineage: Bacteria; Bacillati; Bacillota
Description: Firmicutes bacterium (anaerobic digester metagenome) partial transfer-messenger RNA
Rfam family: transfer-messenger RNA
About the family: Bacterial tmRNA, also known as 10Sa RNA or SsrA, is named for its dual tRNA and mRNA-like properties. Its role is to liberate the mRNA from a stalled ribosome.
Source: RNAcentral
GGGGGCGUUACGGUUUCGACGGGGAGCUGUGACGACAGGGGUAGCGAGCCGAGAUCCCGCCGACCUCGUUAAACGGUGGAACGCACGAUAAGUGCCAACAACGAGUACGCUUACGCUG